GCAGUGAUGGUUCCGGGGUAGAAUUCUCACCUUCCAUGUGGAAAACCCAGGGUUCGAUUCCCAGCCAAUGCA
This 72-nucleotide transfer RNA is filed under the name Loxodonta africana (African savanna elephant). It matches the Rfam family "tRNA". From Rfam's summary of the family: Transfer RNA (tRNA) molecules are approximately 80 nucleotides in length. Their secondary structure includes four short double-helical elements and three loops (D, anti-codon, and T loops). Further hydrogen bonds mediate the characteristic L-shaped molecular structure. tRNAs have two regions of fundamental functional importance: the anti-codon, which is responsible for specific mRNA codon recognition, and the 3' end, to which the tRNAs corresponding amino acid is attached (by aminoacyl-tRNA synthetases). tRNAs cope with the degeneracy of the genetic code in two manners: having more than one tRNA (with a specific anti-codon) for a particular amino acid; and 'wobble' base-pairing, i.e. permitting non-standard base-pairing at the 3rd anti-codon position. The record is from Rfam by way of RNAcentral. Lineage: Eukaryota; Metazoa; Chordata; Mammalia; Proboscidea; Elephantidae.